GUGGGGAAUCUUGCGCAAUGGGCGAAAGCCUGACGCAGCCAUGCCGCGUGGAUGAUGAAGGUCUUAGGAUUGUAAAAUCCUUUCACCGGUGAAGAUAAUGACUGUAGCCGGAGAAGAAGCCCCGGCUAACUUCGUGCCAGCAGCCGCGGUAAUACGAAGGGGGCUAGCGUUGCUCGGAUUUACUGGGCGUAAAGGGCGCGUAGGCGGACAUUUAAGUCAGGGGUGAAAUCCCGGGGCUCAACCUCGGAACUGCCUUUGAUACUGGGUGUCUUGAGUAUGAGAGAGGUGUGUGGAACUCCGAGUGUAGAGGUGAAAUUCGUAGAUAUUCGGAAGAACACCAGUGGCGAAGGCGACACACUGGCUCAUUACUGACGCUGAGGCGCGAAAGCGUGGGGAGCAAACAGGAUUAGAUACCCCGGUAGUCCC
RNAcentral lists this ribosomal RNA (426 nucleotides) under uncultured bacterium. RNAcentral describes it as "partial 16S ribosomal RNA". It matches the Rfam family "Bacterial small subunit ribosomal RNA", at positions 354 to 797 of the family's 1533-position model. The record is from RNAcentral.